RNAcentral lists this ribosomal RNA (253 nucleotides) under uncultured Oscillospira sp. RNAcentral's name for it is "partial 16S ribosomal RNA". It matches the Rfam family "Bacterial small subunit ribosomal RNA", at positions 524 to 776 of the family's 1533-position model. The record is from RNAcentral. Lineage: Bacteria; Bacillati; Bacillota; Clostridia; Eubacteriales; Oscillospiraceae.
UACGUAGGUGGCAAGCGUUAUCCGGAUUUAUUGGGUGUAAAGGGCGUGUAGGCGGGAGCGCAAGUCAGAUGUGAAAACUCAGGGCUCAACCCUGAGCCUGCAUUUGAAACUGUGUUUCUUGAGUGCUGGAGAGGCAAUCGGAAUUCCGUGUGUAGCGGUGAAAUGCGUAGAUAUACGGAGGAACACCAGUGGCGAAGGCGGCCUACUGGGCUUUAACUGACGCUGAGGCACGAAAGCGUGGGUAGCAAACAGG